RNA transcript from Heterocephalus glaber (naked mole-rat), 1996 nucleotides. It is a transcript of the gene named polyamine oxidase, with no coding region annotated. NCBI's taxonomy places the organism in Eukaryota, Metazoa, Chordata, Mammalia, Rodentia, Bathyergidae. The record is from RefSeq and is a predicted model, not a curated record.
CCUCGCCCCGCCUCCACCUCCUGUCUAUCGCGAGCCCCAGAGCCGGGAGACGUCUCUGGGGACAUCAUGGCGUCAGGCGGCGGCGGCGGAGAGACCCUGGGUGGGCCGCGGGUGCUGGUGGUGGGCGGCGGCAUCGCGGGGCUGGGUGCAGCGCAGAGGCUGUGUGGUCACCCUGCUGCCCCCCACCUGCGCAUCCUGGAGGCCACGGCCCGCGCCGGGGGCCGCAUCCGCUCGGAGCGCGGCUUUGGUGGUAUGGUGGAGGUGGGUGCACACUGGAUCCAUGGGCCUUCCCAGGGCAACCCUGUCUUCCAGCUGGCUGCUGCCUUCGGGCUCCUGGGCGAGAAGGAGUUGUCGGAGGAGAACCAGUUGGUGGAUACAGGGGGCCACUUAGCCCUGCCCUCCAUGUGCUGCACCAGCUCUGGGACAAGGGUGAGCCUUGAGCUGGUGGCAGAGAUGGCCAGUCUGUUCUAUGAGCUGAUAGACCAGACCCGAGAGUUUCUGCAUGUGGCUGAGACCCCAGUGCCCAGUGUCGGGGAGUACCUCAAGAAGGAGAUCGGCCAGCACGUGGCCCACUGGACAGAGGACGAGGACACCAAGAAUCUCAAGUUGGCCAUCCUGAACACCUUCUUCAAUGUGGAGUGCUGCAUAAGUGGCACCCAUAGCAUGGAUCUGGUAGCUCUUGCCCCCUUUGGGGAGUACACUGUGCUGCCGGGGCUGGACUGCACCUUCUCUGGGGGCUACCAGGGACUCACAAACCACAUAAUGGGCUCCUUGCCAAAGGAUGUGAUGGUUUUUAACAAGCCUGUGAAGACUGUUCGCUGGAACGGGUCCUUCCAAGAGGCAGCAUUUCCCGGGGAGACCUUUCCUGUAUUGGUGGAGUGUGAUGAUGGUGGCCAGUUCCCAGCCCAUCACGUCGUCAUCACUGUGCCCUUGGGUUUUCUCAAAGAGCAUCAGGGGACCUUCUUUGAACCACCACUGCCUGCUGCGAAAGUGGAAGCAAUCAGGAAAAUAGGCUUUGGGACCAACAACAAAGUCUUCCUGGAGUUUCAGGAACCUUUCUGGGAGCCAGACUGCCAGUUCAUCCAGGUGGUGUGGGAGGACACGUCGCCCCUGCACGACAUUGCCUCUGGGCUGCAGGACACCUGGUUCAAGAAACUCAUUGGGUUUUUGGUCCUACCUUCUUUCAAGUCUGUGCAUGUGCUCUGUGGGUUCAUUGCUGGGCUGGAGUCAGAGUUUAUGGAGACUUUGUCCGAUGAAGAAGUGCUUCUCUCUUUAACCCAAGUGCUCCAGAAAAUGACAGGAAACCCACAGCUUCCUGCUCCCAAGAGUAUACUGAGGUCUCGCUGGCACAGUGCUCCAUAUACUCGGGGUUCCUACAGCUACGUGGCUGUGGGCAGCACUGGGGAUGACAUAGACCUGCUGGCUCAGCCUCUCCCUGAAGAUGGCACUGGCCCCCAGGAAUCGAACUCAGGACCUUGCACUUGCGAGGCAGCCACAGUGCCACUGAGCUAAAUCCCUGGCUGGCUAUAAAUUUUUUUAUUCUUCCAUCCACCCUGGCUGUCAAGUCUCCCUGACCUUCUCAGGGGUGAUUCAUUAACUCUGCUCCAGAUACUAUUUGCAGGGGAAGCCACGCAUCGGACAUUUUACUCCACGACACAUGGAGCCCUGCUGUCUGGCUGGAGAGAGGCUGACCGCCUCAUUGGUCUGUGGGACCUGAAGAUGCAGCAGACCCGGCCCAGGCUCUGAGCUGGGCUCCUACUGGCUGUCCUCCUUCUGGAUGGAAGGCUGGGACCCUCCUCUUCUCUGACAGAUGAUUUUCAGUCUGACUUGAGAUUUUGGGAUCUCACUGACAGUCCUUUUCGGGUAACUGAGUCAGUCACCUUCUCAUCUCUCACAUCUGUCAAAGGAGUCUGGCCAGGACUGAUCUUGGGCUGAGUGUGAUGUAUGGGAUAUUACUGUUCAUGGUGAUGGUUUGCACAUAAAGCAGUUAUCAACA